This is a long non-coding RNA of Brassica napus (rape), 2256 nucleotides long. RefSeq lists it as uncharacterized. NCBI's taxonomy places the organism in Eukaryota, Viridiplantae, Streptophyta, Magnoliopsida, Brassicales, Brassicaceae. The transcript has 4 exons. The record is from RefSeq and is a predicted model, not a curated record.
AUCUCAUUUCUGACUCUGCGGAUCGUGAUACUUGUCGUUGCAUAAGAUGAGAACGUCCGAAGACUUGUGAUCCCAACAAUGUUUGCUUCUUGUUGUCAAUACAAUAAUUCAAGAACUUGUCGUAUAACCUUUCCAAUAUUAAUUAUACGAAAUUUUUAUUGCGAGAAAUAUUUUCCAGAGACUUUCAGACAUUGAUUCCGUCGUGACCGAUUUUGACCCCAACAUACAGUUGUUGAUUAUCCAAUUUCCUAAUAUACAGACCAUCCACACUUUCCGAUCCUCGAUUAGUCCAGUCCCAUUAUAACUACGAAUCUUGUAAAUCGGAAUUCCUGUAAAUCGUGUAUGGUAGAUUCUAAACAUCGGGUUUAACGAUCAUUUAAGAUACAUACCAUGUAAAACGGAAUCAAUAGCUCAAUUAUUUAGCAUCCAACCGACGAAACCGAGUUAGCUCAAUGCGAUGAUAGCGAGGAAGAAGAACGAAUCCGACGAUUGAGAGAGGAAUGAAUUCAGGUGAGAGAAGAAGAGAGAGACAAUAGUAACAGUCCCGAUUUGGAAUGGUUUGAUUGGUCAUUCAUUUGGUGAGGUAGAGAAAUGGCACUUUCGACAUUAACCAUCCAUAGAAAAAGUAUGAAAAUCUAUAUUAUAAUAGAUCACUUUUUGCUCACUUCUAAGGCUAUCCACGUGGCAAAACGUGUGGGCCCCAGUUAGAUUUUUUUUUCUUUGAUCAUGAGUUUUGCUUUUAUAUUAAAACGGGCUUCGUAAAACAAAUUAAACAUAAAGGCCCGAUUGACCUUUAGAUCUUUACGCAUCGUUUGGCUUUAUAACGUAAGCUUCGUCUUCAAAAAAAAACAUCUAGGGUUUCCUUCAUCUUCAAAAAUUGCAUCGCAUCCUCUUCCAGCAAACCUUAUAACUUCUGAUUGAGUUUCAUUGUUGUCAUUGCAGAGAGGGAGAUUCUAUUAAAUGGUGAGUCUUCUGAAUGCUUUCAUAUCGCACUUUCCUUCUGUCUCGAUCUACAUAUGAAAUAAAACUGUUUCUGUGCAGCGCCACCAUAGAUUAUCUUCGUUUUGGUGAUUUUAAUCCCAUAAGCUUUGGUUUAGAUUUGAUAAUCCAUACAUUCACCAAGAUCUCUGCUCUGUAUGUUUCAUGUCAUGGGUUUACUGGAAUUAGUUGUCUACACAACAUCCUAAACUGAGAGAUCAGAAAAAAAAAAUGGUUGGUGAAGAAGCUUUAAGUGAAACACGAGAAGAUUUUGAAUCUGAGCGAGUGGAUGAACGGAGAGGUACUCUAAAAGCUAUCUGCCGUAAAUGUGGCUCAUCAGAAGUAACAUUAAGUAUGAUUAUGUUUCCGAAUUGUUAACUCAUAUUUCAGCUUCCAGUUGUUGUUCGUCAAAUAAGUUCUGUCCAGGAAACCUGUACUUAAACUCCACACCAGGCAUAGAUUCUUUUUCGACACCAGCCUCCCUUAAAUAACAGCGUUUGUAAACAGGGUGGGAGGUGAAUCAUCCCAAUUUUAUGUUCCAAACGGUGUAGAGGAGGAUCUCCCUAUCUGCUGAAGAGCUAACUGGGAAGGAAUUUGUGUUCCAGAUACGUGUGUCACACCCUUCAACUUCACAAGGAGGACAGUGAGAACACUCUUCCAAACAAUGAAGUUAACGUAGGAUUGGAAGCAUCACCUUCGGGGCCGUCUGUUUUGGGAGACAAGGGCAGCGAGGUUUGUGCUACAGCAGAUCCUCCAGAGAUUGCAGACCCUCAUAACAACCGCAAGCGCCACCGUGAGUGAUUCGAAUUAUGUAUUCGUAUCAGCCCUUCAAUGUCUUUUUUAUGCGCUUAAAAAAACUACUAUAAAUGGUUAACCGAGAAAAAGCUGUUUUAAAAGCGUAGAUUGUUCGUUCUGUUUUCGAUUUCUAAACGUCUUUGUUUUUAUAUCGUACAAACCAUCAAAUUUCCAUUGAAGGAACAUGCACAGACGAUUAGAAUCACGACCAUUGAAUUGAUUGGUGUAACAUGAUUACCCCACAUUAAAUCUUAGAAAUUGAACUAAAACAUACAUAGCAGAUGAGCUUUCAUAUAUGCGGCCGAUUCAGGGGUACUAUAACCCUCUCUGGUUUUCGUUUUAGAUCCUUUAACACCGUCGGCAUUUAAUAAGAAUGCUAAUUAAUUAACACUAUAACUAGACUCUGAUCCACGCGCCAGCGCGGAUAUGAAUUUUCAGUUUUUAAUUAUUUAUUUUAUUAAAUGAUGUAUUUGUAAUAUUCGU